Long non-coding RNA from Drosophila miranda, 755 nucleotides. RefSeq lists it as uncharacterized. The transcript is spliced from 4 exons. The record is from RefSeq and is a predicted model, not a curated record. Lineage: Eukaryota; Metazoa; Arthropoda; Insecta; Diptera; Drosophilidae.
UUCCUAGUAUGGCAUGACGGGUUUUUUGGCCAGGAGUUGCCCGGCUAACCUUGGAGCUGGAGUGUGUAGCUGCACAGACCAUGAUAAUGCAUCAGCCAGGAGCCGCUCCACAUUUUCGUUGGCUUGUUUGGACUUGGGGCAGAUACGAGGUAUACUGCGUCAUCAGCGUACGUUGCUAGCAUUUGGGUUGAGUUUGCGUGUCUUGGUGGCUGCGGCAUGUCGGCAGUGUAAAGGUUGUAGAGUACUGGGGCCAAGUACGCUUCCUUGCGGCACUCCAGCGGUUAUGUGCUUUAGGCUUGAGGUGAUGUUGUUGCAGCAGACGACUUUGAAGCUUCUGUCUGAGAGAUAGCUGAGAAGACCCUGAUGCCAGACUCUAUCAAAGGCCUCCUGGAUAUCCAUGUACACAGCACUGCAAUGCCGCUGCGCUUCGUAGGAUCUGAGGAUGAAUUGCGUGACUCGUCCGAUUUGCUGUUCCGCUGAGUGCUGACUUCUGAAGCCAAAUUGAUGGUUUGGAAUAGCCAUGGCAAAGCUUUCUUCUUCAAAAAGUCGUUUGAGGAUGAGGCGUUCAAGGAUUUUGGAGAAGCCUGACUUUGGGAAGUGGCCGAACUGCAGAGCCGAGUUGCAUAUCAACAGCAGAUACUCGAUGGCGGAUGUUGGCAGAGAUUUAAUGACGCGAUUGUCGAUACUGUCGAAACCGGGUGCCUUUUUCGUCUUGAGCUUCUUAAUUUCCGAUUUGAGUUCCUGGAUGGUCACAG